Molecule: ribosomal RNA, 1194 nt
Filed under: Alternaria alternata
Lineage: Eukaryota; Fungi; Ascomycota; Dothideomycetes; Pleosporales; Pleosporaceae
Description: SSU rRNA
Rfam family: Eukaryotic small subunit ribosomal RNA
Source: RNAcentral
UUAAAGUUGUUGCAGUUAAAAAAGCUCGUAGUUGAAACUUGGGCCUGGCUGGCGGGUCCGCCUCACCGCGUGCACUCGUCCGGCCGGGCCUUCCUUCUGAAGAACCUCAUGCCCUUCACUGGGCGUGCUGGGGAAUCAGGACUUUUACUUUGAAAAAAUUAGAGUGUUCAAAGCAGGCCUUUGCUCGAAUACGUUAGCAUGGAAUAAUAAAAUAGGGCGUGCGUUUCUAUUUUGUUGGUUUCUAGAGACGCCGCAAUGAUUAACAGGAACAGUCGGGGGCAUCAGUAUUCAGUUGUCAGAGGUGAAAUUCUUGGAUUUACUGAAGACUAACUACUGCGAAAGCAUUUGCCAAGGAUGUUUUCAUUAAUCAGUGAACGAAAGUUAGGGGAUCGAAGACGAUCAGAUACCGUCGUAGUCUUAACCGUAAACUAUGCCGACUAGGGAUCGGGCGAUGUUCUUUUUCUGACUCGCUCGGCACCUUACGAGAAAUCAAAGUUUUUGGGUUCUGGGGGGAUUAUGGUCGCAAGGCUGAAACUUAAAGAAAUUGACGGAAGGUCACCACCAGGCGUGGAGCCUGCGGCUUAAUUUGACUCAACACGGGGAAACUCACCAGGUCCAGAUGAAAUAAGGAUUGACAGAUUGAGAGCUCUUUCUUGAUUUUUCAGGUGGUGGUGCAUGGCCGUUCUUAGUUCGUGGGGUGACUUGUCUGCUUAAUUGCGAUAACGAGCGAGACCUUACUCUGCUAAAUAGCCAGGCUAACUUUGGUUGGUCGCCGGCUUCUUAGAGAGACUAUCAACUCAAGUUGAUGGAAGUUUGAGGCAAUAACAGGUCUGUGAUGCCCUUAGAUGUUCUGGGCCGCACGCGCGCUACACUGACAGAGCCAACGAGUUCUUUUCCUUGUUCGAAAGAAUUGGGUAAUCUUGUUAAACUCUGUCGUGCUGGGGAUAAAGCAUUGCAAUUAUUGCUUUUCAACGAGGAAUGCCUAGUAAGCGCGUGUCAUCAGCAUGCGUUGAUUACGUCCCUGACCUUUGUACACACCGCCCGUCGCUACUACCGAUUGAAUGGCUCAGUGAGGCCUUCGGACUGGCUCGAGGAGGUUGGCAACGACCACCUCAAGCCGGAAAGUUCGUCAAACUCGGUCAUUUAGAGGAAGUAAAAGUCGUAACAAGGUCUCCGUAGGUGAACCUGCGGAGG